UGAGGAAUAUUGGACAAUGGGCGCGAGCCUGAUCCAGCCAUGCCGCGUGCAGGAAGACUGCCCUAUGGGUUGUAAACUGCUUUUAUACGGGAAGAAACCCACCUACGUGUAGGUGGCUGACGGUACCGUAAGAAUAAGCAUCGGCUAACUCCGUG
This 155-nucleotide ribosomal RNA is filed under the name uncultured Winogradskyella sp. Its description in RNAcentral is "partial 16S ribosomal RNA". It matches the Rfam family "Bacterial small subunit ribosomal RNA", at positions 355 to 507 of the family's 1533-position model. Lineage: Bacteria; Pseudomonadati; Bacteroidota; Flavobacteriia; Flavobacteriales; Flavobacteriaceae. The record is from RNAcentral.